GUGCCAGCAGCCGCGGUAAUACGUAGGUGGCAAGCGUUGUCCGGAAUUAUUGGGCGUAAAGCGCGCGCAGGCGGNCCUUUAAGUCUGAUGUGAAAGCCCACGGNUCAACGUGGAGGGUCAUUGGGAAACUGGGGGACUUGAGUGCAGAAGAGGAGAGUGGAAUUCCACGCGUAGCGGNGAAAUGCGUAGAGAUGUGGAGGAACANCAGUGGCGAAGGNGANUCUCUGGUCUGUAACUGACGCUGAGGCGCGAAAGCGUGGGGAGCAAACA
This 270-nucleotide ribosomal RNA is filed under the name unidentified soil organism R6-131. RNAcentral describes it as "partial 16S ribosomal RNA". It matches the Rfam family "Bacterial small subunit ribosomal RNA", at positions 505 to 774 of the family's 1533-position model. The record is from RNAcentral.